Athalia rosae (coleseed sawfly) is the source of this 1953-nucleotide long non-coding RNA. RefSeq lists it as uncharacterized. The record is from RefSeq and is a predicted model, not a curated record. Lineage: Eukaryota; Metazoa; Arthropoda; Insecta; Hymenoptera; Athaliidae. The transcript has 2 exons.
GGUUCUUUUCAGCACGUUUCAAAAGGUCCGCUGAUAUCUCAACAGAGUCUUGACCUAUUCCUAGUUUCUCCACACGAGAUCGUGUAUUCGCGGCCAUCGCAUUCAAAAAUAAAUUAAACUACAUGCAACACUCGGAAGACAGGUCUGGAUGAGGUUCGGUGGAAACGACAAAAGUCGAGUUCGGAUGCCGUAAUGUUGCCAACCUACGAAAUUAAUUGUUCCAUGACCGAUGUUUAUAUCAGUUUAUUCAUCAAGAAGUGAGGAGAAGAGAACGAAGAUAAUAACCUCUACUAAUCUCAUAACAAUUCGAAUAAACAUAACCACUCUUUAAUAUUUGUAUACAAAUUCCGACCUGGCUGUAAUUUUAUGCGGUCGGUAAAAGCUUUACCUUGCCGUUACUCUGGUGUGACAUCGUGUAACUAGCGUCCCGUGAAAACAGACAAGCCAACUCAACUCUGACCCGAUUCGAAACCGCGGUGGAAACUGAGUCGAUGAAAAGUCUGAAUAAACAAUUAAAGGACAAGGAUUACGACUAACGUCUGUUAAUCUAUCGGAUAUGGUUUCUUACUUUUUCCAAACGGAUUGUGAUCCAAAAAACGUUCUAAUUACUUUAUUAUAGACCUAUAAACAAUUGUGUUUCGAUCGCACCUCCUAAAUACUUUGAAUGGACAAAAAGUUGAAAAAUUUCUGGCUAACUUGAAGCAAAAAUGUAUCUUUCAUAUAAAGAGCGAAAUAAGAUCCAACAAACGUCUUGCUUGUUCCAACAAAUGAUUGGGUGGAAAAAAAACUCAAAAAUCGAUUUUAAACUAACUAUUGACCAUUAAACGCUAACCAAUGAACAAGAAAUAAUUAAAAAAAGAAUUAUCUUCAUCGAGUCAGGUGAGAGCAAAAAAGCCAAGUAUAUGGUUUUGUCCAGGUAUUAAUUUGCUAUGGUAAAUUCAAGGCGUUGUAAACGUGCAUUUCUUACAACCUCAUUCACCGGAUUGUUUGUUUUUAUUUCGACAAUGGACGACAAUUUCAAAACUUCUAUAUUUGACAUCGAUGCAUCUUUGCGUUACAAUUCUUCAGAGUGUUCAAAAAGGAAUACAUACCGUCAGAGAAAUAAAUUAUAAUGCGAAUGGCAGGCAAGAUGCUUUAAAUCGAUUUGUAGUCAUCAUUUUUUAAAAGGUUCUAACGGCAGGAGGUCGUAUCCGUCUACAUACGACCUUUUGUUUUCCAAAUUUAUUUCAUUGCUUCCGGUCAAAAUAAGAAAUAAGUGUAAACAAUUAAACUUCAAACCUUGAAAACUCUGAGAUAUAAACUUGAUUUUGGAGUAAUUUUCAAUAUGUCAAAGAGUUGGCCAUUGAACCUUCGAGUACCGGGAUUUUGACUAAACAAUUUAUUUUCGAUAUAUCUUGAGGCGCUGAACACGAUACCGUUGGCAAUAUUUGCUCGAAAACCUCCAAAUUUUUAUGAAACGCUCAAUUUUGGUAAAAAAAUGAAUAUUUGAUUUAUUCUCAGGUUUGUUCCGACACAUCAUUUCAAAUAUUCUUUUAAGCCACUGUAGUGGCUUUAUGCGUUGACUGAUAAUCCUCUUUACGCUAUUCUAAAGGUCAAGAGGAUAAAUGGAGGAAGCUCUUGAGAAUAAUUGGACGCUAAUAUGAAAAAACACAUUGGCCAACAAGAAAAUGUUUGGUUUUUACUUUAACUGUCAGGGGAAUGCAAAGCUCAACCCAGAUAAUAAGGAUAUACCAAUUGUAAGAAUUUUUCCAAACUGCUUACGGCAUUUAAUUGGAGACCAAAGAGCUACCAAAACUUUCAUUAUAUGAGUAACUACCCUGUUAUUGAAGUCAUAGUGGGUGGUAGAACAUAGACUAUCUUUUUCAGCGGCGGUGGGAUACAAGUUUACGUCCCAACCGUCUUCAUACAUUUUUCACGGUCUAGCAUUUGUAAUAAAACUUUUCGACUUCAAAG